UUAUGGCUCAGAUUGAACGCUGGCGGCAGGCCUAACACAUGCAAGUCGAGCGGUAGCACAGAGAGCUUGCUCUCGGGUGACGAGCGGCGGACGGGUGAGUAAUGUCUGGGAAACUGCCUGAUGGAGGGGGAUAACUACUGGAAACGGUAGCUAAUACCGCAUAACGUCGCAAGACCAAAGUGGGGGACCUUCGGGCCUCAUGCCAUCAGAUGUGCCCAGAUGGGAUUAGCUAGUAGGUGGGGUAACGGCUCACCUAGGCGACGAUCCCUAGCUGGUCUGAGAGGAUGACCAGCCACACUGGAACUGAGACACGGUCCAGACUCCUACGGGAGGCAGCAGUGGGGAAUAUUGCACAAUGGGCGCAAGCCUGAUGCAGCCAUGCCGCGUGUGUGAAGAAGGCCUUCGGGUUGUAAAGCACUUUCAGCGGGGAGGAAGGCGAUAAGGUUAAUAACCUUGUCGAUUGACGUUACCCGCAGAAGAAGCACCGGCUAACUCCGUGCCAGCAGCCGCGGUAAUACGGAGGGUGCAAGCGUUAAUCGGAAUUACUGGGCGUAAAGCGCACGCAGGCGGUCUGUCAAGUCGGAUGUGAAAUCCCCGGGCUUAACCUGGGAACUGCAUUCGAAACUGGCAGGCUAGAGUCUUGUAGAGGGGGGUAGAAUUCCAGGUGUAGCGGUGAAAUGCGUAGAGAUCUGGAGGAAUACCGGUGGCGAAGGCGGCCCCCUGGACAAAGACUGACGCUCAGGUGCGAAAGCGUGGGGAGCAAACAGGAUUAGAUACCCUGGUAGUCCACGCCGUAAACGAUGUCGAUUUGGAGGUUGUGCCCUUGAGGCGUGGCUUCCGGAGCUAACGCGUUAAAUCGACCGCCUGGGGAAUACGGCCGCAAGGUUAAAACUCAAAUGAAUUGACGGGGGCCCGCACAAGCGGUGGAGCAUGUGGUUUAAUUCGAUGCAACGCGAAGAACCUUACCUGGUCUUGACAUCCACAGAACUUUCCAGAGAUGGAUUGGUGCCUUCGGGAACUGUGAGACAGGUGCUGCAUGGCUGUCGUCAGCUCGUGUUGUGAAAUGUUGGGUUAAGUCCCGCAACGAGCGCAACCCUUAUCCUUUGUUGCCAGCGGUCCGGCCGGGAACUCAAAGGAGACUGCCAGUGAUAAACUGGAGGAAGGUGGGGAUGACGUCAAGUCAUCAUGGCCCUUACGACCAGGGCUACACACGUGCUACAAUGGCAUAUACAAAGAGAAGCGACCUCGCGAGAGCAAGCGGACCUCAUAAAGUAUGUCGUAGUCCGGAUUGGAGUCUGCAACUCGACUCCAUGAAGUCGGAAUCGCUAGUAAUCGUAGAUCAGAAUGCUACGGUGAAUACGUUCCCGGGCCUUGUACACACCGCCCGUCACACCAUGGGAGUGGGUUGCAAAAGAAGUAGGUAGCUUAACCUUCGGGAGGGCGCUUACCACUUUGUGAUUCAUGACUGGGGUGAAGUCGUAACAAGGU
Molecule: ribosomal RNA, 1488 nt
Filed under: uncultured bacterium
Lineage: Bacteria
Description: bacterial SSU rRNA
Rfam family: Bacterial small subunit ribosomal RNA
Source: RNAcentral